UAUCCGUAGGUGAACCUGCGGAAGGAUCAUUAAAAAUGAAGCCGGGAAACCGGUCCUUCUAACCCUUGAUUAUCUUAAUUUGUUGCUUUGGUGGGCCGCGCAAGCACCGGCUUCGGCUGGAUCGUGCCCGCCAGAGGACACAACUCUGUAUCAAAUGUCGUCUGAGUACUAUAAAAUAGUUAAAACUUUCAACAACGGAUCUCUUGGUUCUGGCAUCGAUGAAGAACGCAC
This 231-nucleotide unclassified non-coding RNA is filed under the name plant metagenome. Its description in RNAcentral is "partial contains small subunit ribosomal RNA, internal transcribed spacer 1, and 5.8S ribosomal RNA". The stretch from base 184 to 231 matches the Rfam family "5.8S ribosomal RNA", at positions 1 to 48 of the family's 154-position model. The record is from RNAcentral.